CGUUCAACUUGCUAAACGUCGACAGCACGCCACGCCACCAAGUCGAACCUAAUGUCUGUGGCGAAACCGAGCGUUUACAGCCGAAAGUUGAACCACAAUGUCGAAUCCCUCUUGUGUUGAGAUUUGUCAUUGGUGAAGCUCGAUAUACGCCAUUAAAGCUAUUGUGGAUAUGUUUUGAAAUAUGAAGAUAAAAUGAAGGAGAAGGGUGAGGUACCAGUUACGUUCAGUCAUUUGGGACCUCCAAAAAGAUGAACAACUGAAGAGGAAGAAGAGAGAGGGAACAUUCAAAUCAUGAUGACUCUGUUUACCACCACCCUACACAAAAUUCCACUGGAGCUCUACCACCUAGGGAACCUCCAAUGUUGAAAUCAUCAAUUG
Molecule: long non-coding RNA, 378 nt
Organism: Cucumis melo (muskmelon)
Lineage: Eukaryota; Viridiplantae; Streptophyta; Magnoliopsida; Cucurbitales; Cucurbitaceae
Exons: 4
Source: RefSeq, a predicted model, not a curated record